This 440-nucleotide ribosomal RNA is filed under the name uncultured bacterium. RNAcentral's name for it is "partial 16S ribosomal RNA". It matches the Rfam family "Bacterial small subunit ribosomal RNA", at positions 338 to 795 of the family's 1533-position model. The record is from RNAcentral.
CCUACGGGUGGCAGCAGUGGGGAAUAUUGCACAAUGGGGGAAACCCUGAUGCAGCGACGCCGCGUGAGUGAAGAAGUAUUUCGGUAUGUAAAGCUCUAUCAGCAGGGAAGAAAAUGACGGUACCUGAUUAAGAAGCCCCGGUGAACUACGUGCCAGCAGCCGCGGUAAUACGUAGGGGGCAAGCGUUAUCCGGAUUUACUGGGUGUAAAGGGAGCGUAGACGGCAGCACAAGUCUGGAGUGAAAUGCCGGGGCUAAACCCCGGAACUGCUUUGGAAACUGUGCAGCUAGAGUGCAGGAGAGGAAAGUGGAAUGCGUGGGGUAGGGGUGAAAUGCGUAGAUAUUAGGAGGAACACCAGUGGCGAAGGCGGCUUACUGGACUAUAACUGACGUUGAGGCUCGAAAGCGUGGGGAGCAAACAGGAUGAGAGACCCUAGUAGUC